Molecule: long non-coding RNA, 4366 nt
Organism: Betta splendens (Siamese fighting fish)
Lineage: Eukaryota; Metazoa; Chordata; Actinopteri; Anabantiformes; Osphronemidae
Exons: 4
Source: RefSeq, a predicted model, not a curated record
UCUCUCUUAUGUUUCAGGGUAAGUUCGUUUCAGAGGUUACUGCGCAUGGCGUGCCCAUUUGAUAAUGAGCCUGUGGACGUGGAGGCGCAGCUAAUUACAGUUUUUUUCCAUCGUGAGAAGGUCAUACGACGGCUUCUGAAGUAAGCGCUCUCUGCCACAAAUCUCUGCGUGUCAUUUAAAAAGAAUUCCACAGAUUGGCAGGAUUUUCCCUUCUACGAUAAUCUAUGACACGUUAUAUGUGAUGCAACCCAUGUCAUCACUAAUGUUGUAGCCAAAUGACUAGGGUCAGUGGAUGAUUCCAGAAUCUUCACAGAGUCAUCACUAUGCCACUCAUUUCAACAGGGAAACUACAAUGGUUUCUUGCUGGGGGACAGAGGGUGCCCAUGUCUGCCCUAUUUGAUGACACCCUACCCUGAACCUGAGCCUGGACUACAGACACGGUUCAACCAGGCCUACAGCAGAACACGGGCCAAGGUGGAGAUGACCAUAGGCAUCCUGAAGGCAAGGUUCCAGUGUCUACAUGGCCUCAAGGUCAGUCCGGGGAAGGCAUGUGAUGUUAUAGUGGCUUGUUUUGUCCUUCACAACAUUGCCACAAUAAGAGGAGAGAGCCACCCUCCUUGUCCUACUGAAGAUGACCAAGAGGAUCCAGCAGUGAACCAAGUAGACCACAGAGAUGGAAAACUCUUCCUGCACCAAAGCACAGUCAUUUCUUUAUGUCCUGAAAAAUAAAAUGGAAUAUUAUUUACAUUGCUUCACACAACUACACUUCAAUUUGUAACAUGUUCAGAUCCCAACCUUAAGGCAAUGCUCCAGUAUUUCAGUGUAGCCUUUUUAAUAGCCAGUCUCUUUCUCUCUAUUUUAGUAUAUGUAUAUUUAGUGUAUAAGGUCCACCUUUUUGAUUUGUUGUUGAAGAUGGACCUUAUACAGCCCCCUGUGCUGGCAACUAGGAAGGUGUUAAAAAGGGAAAGUAUUUAUGUUAUAAAAUUAUAUAUUAAAUAUUAUGCAAUGCAGAUAUAACUGCAGACAGAUUCUUACACUGCUUAGAUUUAGUGAUGAGGUAGACGGACCCUCAUCUGCAUGGGAAUCCCCAAAAAUGUUCUUUAAAAGGACAAUGACAAUUUGUUACUCUCUAAUGUUAAAAGGGGUCGUGUGAAACGUUAUGGUAUGUAUCAGACCUCUGUAGAACUUGCUGCACUGUCCAAUUCUGUCACAGCAGAAGUGGUCUUUUCAUUUUCAUCCUACAGUGGAAAUAUGCAAGUAUACGUUAUCUGGCAAUGUGUCACAGUUUCUGGUCCUGCUCUGGUUUUUAUUUUGAAGUCCUUCCUACUUUAUCUGUCAUGUUUUGGUUCUAGUCUCCGGUUUUAUUUUAAAGGACUUCCGGGUCUGUUCAUGUUACAGCUGUUUCCUGUCACUCCUGGUUCACCAUGCACAUCUGUCAAUAAUUUAGUAAUCAGCCAGUACUCACCCAAGCCAGUUGCCAUAUUGUUGAGUUCUGAUACCACUUUCCAGUGUUCCAGUAUAGCUUAUCUUCUUGCAUUAUCCUGUCUGUACCUGACCGUCGACUCUUGCCUGCACCCUGUCUGUACCUACGCCUGGAGAUCUUGGUAACGUUCCUGACUGUCUGACCACGAUAUAGCCUACUCCUUGUCUGUACUUCUGCCGAGCUAACCAGUUACCGAACCCUUGCCUGUCCCCGGAACCGAGUUUCCCUGCUCCUUUUGUGACUUUGCCUGAGAUCACCCGUGUACGACCUGGAUCGCGCUGACUACGUUUGUUCCAAUAAGCCGCUUAUCAACUGAUCAUCGUGUCUGCACUGUUGCAUGUGGGUCCAACACUCGAGCAUUCCUGACACAAUGAAACAUCCAUCCAUCCAUCCAUCCAUCCAUCCAUCCAUCCAUCCAUCCAUCCAUCCAUCCAUCCAUCCAUCCAUCCAUCCAUCCAUCCAUCCAUCCAUCCAUCCAUCCAUCCAUAAAAUGUAAAUGCAACAAAUCACUUAAACAUGCCACAGACUGUGUGCUUUGUGGACGGUCCAAUAAUAUAAUCCAUCCAUGAGUGACUGCAAAACAAUGCAACCCAAUUGUAAGAUCAAUGUGAAAUAAAGUCAGAGUACUACAACAUUGUAGAAGCCUAUGCAGCAUAUGCAGUUAAAUAAAAUAGGCCUGCAUACUAAUGCUAAGCUGAUUAAAAAAUCCUAGUGACAGAGAUAGUAGUUGAUUUAAAGUCAUAAAUAAAAAAGAUAAAUUACUGUGGUAAACUUACAUUUCACUAAGUAACUCAUGCCGUGGGAGGUAGUGUGGGAUGAAGUGCCCCCAGGAAUGCCACCGACCAUUGGUCGCCCAGGACACAGCCAGCUCAUCAGAUGGGGUGAGGGGAGGUGGUGGUGGCCCCACCUAUCUGACGAGCCUCUGCCUUUUUUCUAUUAGCUACAUUACAGAAAGAACAUGUUAAAAAUAUGCUUAUUAUAUAAAUCCUGUAAUUGUGUAAUCAAAUCUUACCUUUUUGUAGGAUGGUUUUGUGUUUCAUUUUGACUUCUUCCAGAAAGAUUAUGCCUUAUUAAACAAGAAUAUUGCUAUUAUCCAAUAUUAUUUAAACCUUAUGACGUUAAUAGUACAAACGAUGUGGAAGUUAUGUUUAAUUUUCCAUUGCAAUAAAAGAGGAGAGGGUAACAAAAUAAUGGUAAUUAAAUAAACCCAGGCAUUUAGUCUGUCAGUUAUUUUUUACCAAGCCAACUCUCUUUCCUUCACUGAUUCAGCUGUAUUGCUUUUUUUAAUAAAAAUUGGCUUCAAUUCCUCGUACGCCAGCAUUAAAACCUCCACCUCUGCCUCUGUGAAAUAUGCUGCCUUUUAUUGUCGCUUGGGUUUUCCAUGAUGACUUGUGAAUUUGGCGAUCCAUUGACAAUGUCUUACACUGUGCACAUGUGUUAACUUUGGGUUAGAUUAAUCUAACUCUUCUCUGUCACGGCCUGGACUCACUUCCUUCUUUAUUUUGCCGUAAGUCUGACCUAAGCCUGCCUCCUGACAACCGACUGUCUGAUCCAUGCCUGUACCGCUACUGCCUCAGUUGUGUAUCGACCCUUGCCUGCCUGACUACGAGUACUAAUAAACCCUUAUUAUCACCGAGCUUUGUCUCCGCUGUGCAUGUGGGUCUGCUACCUAGACCGCCGUGACAUUCUCAGGUAUUUUGGAACCGACAUACUGUACUCAGGGUAAGCAUGUUCUGGGUUAAUCAACCAAGAGUUCAGGGUUUAGCAGAAGGUUAAUCAACCCUGCUUUCUGGAACACACACCUGGUAAUGCGCAUAAAACAAGAGAUACGGAUUACAACAUCCAUCCAUCUUCUAUGCCGCUUAAUCCCGUACAUGGGGUCACAGGGGGGCUGGAGCCUAUCCCAGCUGGCUAUGGGCAAGAGGCAGAGGACUAAUAAAAAGGGAAACAAUUUCAUUCAGACCGAAAAAAAAAACAGAUUAACUCAUGACUAAUGUAUUAAUUGUUUUUGUGUAUAUUUUUACGGAUUAGUACUAGACAGUGACAAAACAAUUUAUUAUGCAUUACUAUUCCAACAAUUGCAGCAUCAUCAUCAGAACUAUAUCUGAAGCUUUGAUAAUCACAUGUAUUUCUAUUUAUGUAAUUGUUUUGUCCUUUACAUUGAUUUGAAUAGAUAGAUUUAUUGUAAUGUGUUAUUGUGUCAUGUUGUGGUGGAAGUUUGAGCUUGACGAACAGAGGAAAGUAUACUGAAGCUUAGUCCAAAUUUAGGACUAUUUAGGAUAGUUUAUUAAUGGGCAGACUUUUCCCCGGUCAGGCCACAGGGUAGAUGCAUCUUCACCUCCAAACUUGGCAACACCUCAGUAGACAAAAAAUUAAAACUUAAGUUUUCUCUUCAGUCUCUUCUCACGUCUCCUUCCACAAGGCUUCUUAAGUCAUCUAAGUCUUCUUAGAACUUUCUCCCAGCUAAGUAAACCCAGCUGUACCACAUGACUGAUUCAGGAAGCGAUUGGGAUCUUGCCGCGGGCUCCAACACUGGGAGAAACAGAAAUAUGUCUAUUCCCAUCUAUGUAAGUUAGCAGUGGCAAAACCCUUUGAACGGCUGUAUUCCAAAGCAGAAGAAAAAAUGGCAAAAAAAGUCGUCUAAGACCUGCCACAGUGGAGAAACUGCUGUUUUUAAAUAAAAAAAAAACUAUGAUUUGUCUCCCAAACCACAAUCCAUACCUCAAGGUUACAAAAGCACAAUCAUUGUCCAUCCCCUCACCUCAUUGUAAAUAAUAAUUUCCAUUUUCAUAAUUUCUAAAUAAUCAUUUUCCAUAAUGCCAGUGUGUGUGUGUGUGUGUGUAUGUAUGUAUGUAUAUUUGUAUAUACAGUAUAACAUACAAC